Molecule: ribosomal RNA, 835 nt
Filed under: uncultured bacterium
Lineage: Bacteria
Description: bacterial SSU rRNA
Rfam family: Bacterial small subunit ribosomal RNA
Source: RNAcentral
AGAGUUUGAUCCUGGCUCAGGAUGAACGCUGGCGGCGCGCCUAACACAUGCAAGUCGAACGGCACCCCUCUCCGGAGGGAAGCGAGUGGCGAACGGCUGAGUAACACGUGGAGAACCUGCCCCCUCCCCCGGGAUAGCCGCCCGAAAGGACGGGUAAUACCGGAUACCCCCGGGCGCCGCAUGGCGCCCGGGCUAAAGCCCCGACGGGAGGGGAUGGCUCCGCGGCCCAUCAGGUAGACGGCGGGGUGACGGCCCACCGUGCCGACAACGGGUAGCCGGGUUGAGAGACCGACCGGCCAGAUUGGGACUGAGACACGGCCCAGACUCCUACGGGAGGCAGCAGUGGGGAAUAUUGCACAAUGGGGGAAACCCUGAUGCAGCGACGCCGCGUGAAGGAAGAAGUAUCUCGGUAUGUAAACUUCUAUCAGCAGGGAAGAAAAUGACGGUACCUGACUAAGAAGCCCCGGCUAACUACGUGCCAGCAGCCGCGGUAAUACGUAGGGGGCAAGCGUUAUCCGGAUUUACUGGGUGUAAAGGGAGCGUAGACGGAUGGACAAGUCUGAUGUGAAAGGCUGGGGCUCAACCCCGGGACUGCAUUGGAAACUGCCCGUCUUGAGUGCCGGAGAGGUAAGCGGAAUUCCUAGUGUAGCGGUGAAAUGCGUAGAUAUUAGGAGGAACACCAGUGGCGAAGGCGGCUUACUGGACGGUAACUGACGUUGAGGCUCGAAAGCGUGGGGAGCAAACGGGAUUAGAUACCCUGGUAGUCCACGCGGUAAACGCUUAAAGGGAGGUGUCGGGUGACGAAGUCAUUCGGUGCCGCAGCAAACGCAUUAAG